UUUGCACUCAUCGGGGAAGGGUGAGAACAUUCGACUAAGGUUCGACUCGAGCGAAAGCGAGAGAACGUUUUCACAGGCAACGGCCCGAAGGGUGAGGAGCGAAGCGACGAAUAAUCCUUUCCCCACCGCCA
RNAcentral lists this small RNA (131 nucleotides) under Escherichia coli. Its description in RNAcentral is "RtT sRNA". It matches the Rfam family "RtT RNA". Rfam says of the family: This family represents a bacterial cis-regulatory element known as RtT RNA. The exact function of RtT is unknown although it is thought that it may be involved in changing the cellular response in relation to amino acid starvation. The record is from RNAcentral. Lineage: Bacteria; Pseudomonadati; Pseudomonadota; Gammaproteobacteria; Enterobacterales; Enterobacteriaceae.